GGUUUGAUUAUGAUUCGAUUGAACGCUGGCGGGAUGUUUUACACAUGCAAGUCGAACGGCAGCACGGAAUUCUGGUCUGGUGGCGAGUGGCGAACGGGUGAGUAAUGUAUCGGAACGUGCCUAGUAGCGGGGAUAACUACCGCGAAAGCGUAGCUAAUACCGUAUACACCCUUCGGGGAAAGCGGGUCUUCGGGCCUCACUGAGUUAGGAAGCGGCCGAUAUCGGAUUAGCUUACAGUUGGCGGGGUAACGGCUCACCAAGGCGACGAUCCAGUAGUUGGUUUGGAGAGGACGACCAGCCACACUGGGACUGAGACACGGCCCAGACUCCUACGGGAGGCAGCAGUGGGGAAUUUGGACAAUGGGAAACCGAUCCAGCCAUCCACGGCGUGUGGCGAUGAAGGCUUUGGUUGUAAAGCACUUUGGUGCAGGAAAGAAACGGCAGUACGGAUAAUACCCCGUGCAACUGACGGUACCUGCAGAAUAAGCACCGGCUAACUACGCCAGCAGCCGCGGUAAUACGUAGGUGCAAGCGUUAAUCGGAAUUACUGGGCGUAAAAGGUGCGCAGGCGGUUCGGAAAGAAAGAUGUGAAAUCCCAGAGCUUAACUUUGGAACCGCAUUUUUAACUACCGAGCUAGAGGUGUCAGAGGGGAGGUGGAAUUGCGUGUAGCAGUGAAAUGUGCGUAUGAUAUGGAGCGUGCACCUGAUGGCGAAGGCAGCCUCCUGGGAUAACGACGCUCAUGCACGAAAGUGGGGAGCAAACAGGAUUAGAUACCCUGGUAGUCCACGCCCCAAACGAUGUCAACUAGCUGUUGGGGCCUUUCGGCCUUGCAGCGCAGCUAACGCGUGAAGUUGACCGCCUGGGGGUACGGUCGCAAGAUUAAAAACUCAAAGGGAAUGAUUUGGGACCUGCACAAGCGGUGGAUGAUGUGGAUUAAUUCGAUGCAACGCGAAAAACCCACUACCCUGACAUGUCUGGAAUCCCGAAGAGAUUUGGGAGUGCUCGCAAGAGAACCGGAACAGGAAGGCAUGGCUGUCGUCAACUCGUGUCGUGAGAUGCCAGUUAAGUCCCGCAACGAACGCAACCCUUGUCAUUAGUUGCUACGAAAGGGCACUCUAAUGAGACUGCCGUGACAAACUGGAGGAAGGUGGAUGACGUCAAGUCCUCGCGGCUCUGCGGGGUAGGGCUUCACACGUCAUACAAUGGUCGGGACAGAGGUCGCCAACCCGCGAGGGGAGCCAAUCCCAGAAACCCGAUCGUAGUCCGGAUCGCAGUCUGCAACCUCGAGAAUUGCGCAGUCGGAAUCGCUAGUAAUCGCGGAUCAGCAUGUCAGGUGGUGAAUACGUUCCCGGGUCUUGUACACACCGCCCGUCACACCAUGGGAGUGGGUUUACCAUAGUUAGCCUAACCGUGUAAGGAGGGCGAUUACCACGGCAGGAUCCAUGAUCAGCGGAAGCUCGUACUGGACAGCAA
RNAcentral lists this ribosomal RNA (1474 nucleotides) under uncultured Bordetella sp. RNAcentral's name for it is "partial 16S-23S ribosomal RNA intergenic spacer". It matches the Rfam family "Bacterial small subunit ribosomal RNA". The record is from RNAcentral. Lineage: Bacteria; Pseudomonadati; Pseudomonadota; Betaproteobacteria; Burkholderiales; Alcaligenaceae.